ACGCUCAGCCACGGCAGCGGCGCCUAACAAAAACGCGACAACCGUGGCUGGGCGUCCAGCCCAGUCGCCAAUCCAGUCGUUUUAGCAGCCGGAUCUAGCGCCACCACCAGGGGCUGGGCGUCCUGGCCAGGCGCCCCGCCUAUAACGACAGUUUUUUUUUUUAAAAAAAAUUAAAGAAAACAAAAAUACCUUGCCACCGUGAGCCCUCUUCCCUCCGCCGCAGCUGCCGCCAAUUCUUUGCCUUGCCGCCUUCAUAUUGCUGUAGUUUGAAUUUUUUUUUUUAAGAGAGAUGUAGAAAGAUGAUGAGUGUUUGGUGAUGAGAGUGUGAGUGUGUUUUUUUUAUUUUUUAUGUUAAAGGUAAUAUUGUCAAAUCAAGUGAAUUUUGUAGGUUUUAUGUGGAGAUUUGCGGGCGAUAUUUAGCAAUCCACGUCAAUAAACCAUUGUUAUAAGGGGUAUAUUUGACCGCUACGCAACCCACGUCUCCAAUAAAUUACAAGUUCAACUUCUUUCAAUGAAAAAAGGAUAAAGAUGAAAAGAAAAUAACCACAAACUCUUAAUUACCCAAACCCUCAUUUCUGAAAACAUUUUUUUUUAUUAACUUCAUUUAUCCUUUCUAUAAUUCUCUAUCUAAACAUAGAGAAAAGCAUACUAAUUUUUUCUCAAUUUCUUGUUCAUCUAAAAGGUUAGCUAAUCAGAGGUAAGAUUUCUAUUGAUUUUUAAUUUUCUCAAUCAAAAUCCCUCUAUAUAACCGCUAUUUUGCUCGCGAUUGCUAUGAGAAUGUUUGAAUUUAUCUCACUUUCCAAUUUCAAGUUUGCUUUCCUAUUUCCCAACGGGCUGUAAUUUUUUCCUCAUCAACAAGUCAACAACUAAGGCAUUGGAGCAACUCAAUGGCCGACGGAACACCUCUUUAAACAGUUUAAAGGGUAAGAAGAGUUACAGAUUUUAUUCAACUAAUAUUAAAACAAAAUAAUUUUAAUUUUUUUACUGUAGAAUUUUUCAAUUAUAAGAAGUGCCAAAAAAAAUUGAAAUGAUUGUUGUUUAGCUUAGAUGAUUUUUUUCUUGUUGAAGUAUUAUAUGGGUAACAAAGAAGUAGUACGGUGUUAGUACUCUUUAGUAUAUACUUCCGUUUUUUUUAUGUGCAACUUUGAAAUAUUUUAUGUCUCACAAAUAUUCCUCAAAGUUGCACAUAAAAAAAACGGAGGUAGUACUUUUUUUGUAAACAAUGUCUUACAUACUACAGAGUACUUUAUUACAUUAUAAUUUUCCCCAUGUUUUAA
Molecule: long non-coding RNA, 1277 nt
Organism: Chenopodium quinoa (quinoa)
Lineage: Eukaryota; Viridiplantae; Streptophyta; Magnoliopsida; Caryophyllales; Amaranthaceae
Exons: 3
Source: RefSeq, a predicted model, not a curated record